GCCUCUAUAGCUCAGUGGCAGAGCGUGUCACUCGUAAUGACAAGGUCGGGUGUUCGAUCCACCCUGGAGGCA
Molecule: transfer RNA, 72 nt
Filed under: Rhodotorula toruloides
Lineage: Eukaryota; Fungi; Basidiomycota; Microbotryomycetes; Sporidiobolales; Sporidiobolaceae
Also listed under: 2 other names
Description: tRNA-Thr (CGT) cove score=64.06
Rfam family: tRNA
About the family: Transfer RNA (tRNA) molecules are approximately 80 nucleotides in length.
Source: RNAcentral